AUGAACGUCCACCACUUGGUCAACGCAAGCAUGAUGGAGCUCCAGCCGACCUAGUGAUCCCGCCUCGCCCUGGUCCUAUCGCUUCAGCGUUGCCCUGGUUGGUGACCAUACCCAGCUGACGCCGCUUGACAAGUACUUGAGCAGCCAUGCCUUCAUGGCCGUCUCUCCCUGAGACUCUGAUGCGGGGAUGGCAUGGCCGCCGCCGGCGUCUAUCCCAGUGAAGAAUUAGGGUUCUAAAAAUAAUUAAUCAUGUCAAGUUGAAACGUUAUUAUGUAGCAGCCGUACUGACAUGAUAAAUUAAUUGCAUCUAGAUUACAUUUUUACCCCUAAGAUCGGGGUACUCCCUAGCUUUUUCAGUUGGUACUCUCUUGUACACUUGUUGGAGUACCGAUUAAGAUCAUCCAUCGGAUUAACAGAAAUGGAGGGCUCAUAAUCAUUUAGGGGUACUGUAAAGGAGAACUGCAGAAAAUUGGUAACACUGCACUCUGUUAGGAUCAUGAGAUAUUGGCUGCAUGUAUUAUUUAUCAAUACUACCCCAUUUUCUUCCUACCGUAUUUGUAUGUAUCUCAUGCUCUUACUAAUGUUUUAGCCUUCUAUAUUUUGUUUUGGAGUGAGCUCAGGACAAUGGCUAUGAGGAGGAUGGAGGCACAACUUCUACUUAUUUAUUGUCACAAAAAGAAACACAUUAUGCAGGAGAGGAUUAAUGAAACUGACGUGUUUUAUGGUCCGUGAUGUUCACCUCUUCUGUUGCGGGGGAAGCUAGAAAUGCUAGAGAGGCAGUGAUGCAGAAGAGCUCACAGUGGGUUUCAAUACUUACCCAACUCCGCUAUGCACUGAUGGUUACUCAAUGAUUGAUCGUCGGAUGGUACUCUGUCUUCUAUUCUGAUUGUUCCUGAUUAGUAAAAUGGAGCUCGUAAAGAACCAUGGAGGUUUGUGUUAAGUGACUGCCAGAUCUCUUGCUGUUCAUCGAUUGCUCUUCCUGGUCCUCCCUCUUCGCUGCGCCUUUCAUCACCGCCAAGCUCCUAGAGUGCUUGUGUGUAAAACUGACGACUUUGGCUGUGAUGGUCUUGGACGAACUUGUCAAGCAAGGUUCAUCUGGCUCUGCUUCAUCCACCAACAAAAAAUUGUCUCCUCCUACAAAGGUUGACCAUACCACUUUGACAAUUUCUGCAAGAAUGAUUCUUGAUAUUAUGUUGGAGUAUCUUGGGAUUCCUAAAGCUAUUUAUCAGAGAAGGAUCUACUCGCAGAACACAAUAUCUGUCACUAUACUUUUCUAUACCUCUACUCACAGCGCUGGUGCUUCUCCAUCACAAAUGAUUAUUACAGGGGUUCGAUCUGCCAACGAAGAGAUAGCAGAGGAUCCCGCUGCGGUGGAGGCUUUAGAUACAUGGAACGCGCUACAGGUGUUGUUGUGAAGGACCUAAGUUAUGGACGACUAGAGAAAAUGCAACAAGAGAAUGGUUUUCUAAAGCUUCAACUUGAUGAAGCUGUUGACAUGAUCAACAAGCUAGUCAGGCUUUGUAUGCUUGCUGUUAGAUACAUGCCCUCCUUCUCAAACCAGCUCCAGAAUGUCAUGGAAAUUGGCUUUCCUCCCACACGUCUUGGAAAUUGGCAUUUCUACACACUUCCAACCAGAGCCCUCUAGGGUUUCCUUUCGCCGCCAUGCGCGGCUGCGAGCGAUGCAGGCUGUACGAGAAGCAUCUCCUGGAGGUACACGGUCACACAAAGACCACGACCUCGGCAGCCACCUCGGCGAAACUCGGCCGCCACCAGAUCCGCAAGAAACGAACACACCGACGCCAGCAACAUGCUCCGGUCGCACUCAACGACGCCGUCAACCAUAAGACUGAAGAGAAUGAGCCGCAAGAGUACAUCAUCCGCGGAAUGCAGCAGGAACACCUGGUGGCAUCCAGUACUUUGGUGAGCUUGAAGACCACUGAUACUGGGGUAAUAAGGUGAAGCUCUAUGAACACCACGUAGAUGCUCUCUUUGCUAUGUUCUGGCACAAAGAGCCAGACAUCAAGUACUACGUGUGCACAAUCAACAGAACAUUUGCUAAGCCAGGCCAGCGCAUGUAUUUUCAGGUACACUAUACUGAAGAGAACCUGCUGGACUGCAUUGAUCCAAAUAAUGAUACACUCAUGGUCAGACUUGCAAAUGUCGUCUACUUGCCUAAUGUCGCAUCAUGCUAGGAACUGACAAGAGGGCCACUGUAACCACCAACUGUCUGAGUUUUUCAUUUUAGAAUCACUUCAAAGCGCUGCCUGGUUCUCACUGUGCACCGCCUCUAUAUGCACCAUCAAAGACACCGCAACCCCUGUGUCAAUAUAAUGUAGUAGUAAGUACUCAUAAUUAUGCUCUAUCCCGUGAUGAAUCUGUGGUUUGCUUUUGGGCCCUCUUAUCGCAUGCUUUUGAAUAUACUAAACCUAUGCCGUUGCUUAUGUAAAAUGAACU
Molecule: long non-coding RNA, 2454 nt
Organism: Triticum aestivum (bread wheat)
Lineage: Eukaryota; Viridiplantae; Streptophyta; Magnoliopsida; Poales; Poaceae
Exons: 8
Source: RefSeq, a predicted model, not a curated record